This 544-nucleotide ribosomal RNA is filed under the name Oridorsalis umbonatus. RNAcentral describes it as "bacterial SSU rRNA". It matches the Rfam family "Eukaryotic small subunit ribosomal RNA", at positions 1220 to 1547 of the family's 1831-position model. The record is from RNAcentral. Lineage: Eukaryota; Foraminifera; Rotaliida; Alabaminidae.
GGGUCCGGACACACUGAGGAUUGACAGGCAAUAUUAAUACGUGUUUCGGCGCGUAUUAUGUUAAAUAUGCUAGUCCUUUCAUGAUUAUGUGAUAGGUGGUGCAUGGCCGUUCUUAGUUCGUGGAGUGAUCUGUCUGCUUAAUUGCGUUUCACUAAGAGUCUAUCAAUACGUGCGUUGCGGCACUUUGACCCCUCUCUGAGCGCGCGUCUUAGUUGCUUAGCUCGCACAAUUAGGCUCUGAAAGCAACGAACGUGACCGCAACCUCUUGUUGCCUUUAUACCAAACAUUUUUGCUGUUCUCAUCAUUAAUGCAAAAAGGCUUUUUAAACUAGAGGGACCGCUGUUACUUUCUUAAACCAGAGGAAGGUUGCGGCAAUAACACGUCUGUGAUGCCCUUAUAUGUUCCGGGCUGCACACGUGCUACAAUGAUUGUUGCAGUGAGCAUCUCAUUUUUACACACCGCAUGCGCGAGUCCAUUUAUUCACUUCUGUGCUUUAAAUGUGUAUUUCUGCGCGCGGUAAAGCCUGCUUCGAGAGUAAGUGGGU